GUUGGCCUGGACGCAGUAAACUUCCCUGGUCUGCAGGCCUCCCCCACAGAGCCCCGUCAGGACGUCGGCGUGGCUACCU
Molecule: long non-coding RNA, 79 nt
Organism: Sebastes umbrosus (honeycomb rockfish)
Lineage: Eukaryota; Metazoa; Chordata; Actinopteri; Perciformes; Sebastidae
Exons: 3
Source: RefSeq, a predicted model, not a curated record